Molecule: ribosomal RNA, 1389 nt
Filed under: Cnaphalocrocis medinalis (rice leaffolder)
Lineage: Eukaryota; Metazoa; Arthropoda; Insecta; Lepidoptera; Crambidae
Description: large subunit ribosomal RNA
Source: RNAcentral
GGGGGAAAAAUUAAAUAUUUUAUAAUUAAUAAAAUUAAUUUUAAUAUUAAAAUGGGGGUUUUAGUAUUAAUAAAGAAAUAAUUAUAAAAUUAAUAGUUAAUUAGUAUUGUAAAAUAAAUUUGAAAUAAUUUAAAUAUAAAUUUAUGAAAAAGUAAAUUUUAAUUAUUGUAUCUUGUGUAUCAGAGUUUAUUAAAUUAAAGGUUUAAAUAAAAAAAAUUCUCGAAUUUAAAAGAGAUAAUUAAUUAUAAAAGUUAUUGUAACAUAAAUAUUUUAAAUAAUUAAUUAGAAAUGAAAUGUUAAUCGUUUUUAAAAUAUAUCUAGUUUUUUUAGAAAAAAAUUUAAUUUUAUUUUUUUUUUUAUAAAAAAAUUAAUUAAUUAAUUUAUUUUAAAAAAAAAAUUUUAUUUUAAGGGAUAAUCUUUAAAUUAAAUUUUUAUAAUUAUUUUUUUUUUAUUAAUUAAAAUUUUUAAAAUUUAUAUUGUUUAUAAUUUUAAUUUUAUUAUAAAUAAUUUUAAAUAAAAUAAAAAUUUAAUAAAAAAAUUUAAUUUUUUAUAAAAAAAUAUUUUUUAAUUAAAAAAAAUUAGUUAUAAUGAUAAAAUUAGUUUUUUUAAUAAAAAAAAAAUUUUUUAUAAUUUAAAAAUAAAUUUAAGGAAUUCGGCAAAAUUUUAUAUUCCCUUGUUUAUCAAAAACAUGUCUUUUUGUAAAUAAUUUAAAGUCUAAUCUGCCCACUGAUAAUUAUUAAAGGGCUGCAGUAUAUUGACUGUACAAAGGUAGCAUAAUCCAAAGUCUCUUAAUUGGUGACUUGUAUGAAAGAUUGGAUGAAAAAUAAACUGUCUCAAUUUAUUAAUAAAAUAAUUUAAUUUUUUGAUUAAAAAGUCAAAAUAAUUUUAAAAGACGAGAAGACCCCAUAGAGUUUUAUAAUAAUAUAUAAUAAAAUUAUUUUAUAAAUUUAUUAAUUAAAAUUAUUUAAUAUUAUUUUAUUGGGGUGAUAAAAAAAUAAAAUUAACUUUUUUUAAAAAUUAAUUCAUAAAUAAAUGAGUAAAUGAUCCAAAAUUUUUGAUUAUAAGAAAAAAUUACCUUAGGGAUAACAGCGUAAUUUUUUUUUUUAGUUCAAAUAAGAAAAAGAGUUUGCGACCUCGAUGUUGGAUUAAGAUAAAAUUUAAAUGCAAAAGUUUAAAAUUUUUGAUCUGUUCGAUCAUUAAAAUCUUACAUGAUCUGAGUUCAAACCGGUGUGAGCCAGGUUGGUUUCUAUCUUUAAAAAGUUGAAGUAUUUUAGUACGAAAGGAUCAAAUAUUUAAAUUAAAUUUAUUUUAAAGAAUAUUAUUAAUUUAAUUAUAAAUAUAUGUAAAUUAUAUACAAUAAAUAUAUAAUAUAGAUGGGUAAAUAAUUAG